Molecule: long non-coding RNA, 410 nt
Organism: Culex pipiens pallens (northern house mosquito)
Lineage: Eukaryota; Metazoa; Arthropoda; Insecta; Diptera; Culicidae
Exons: 2
Source: RefSeq, a predicted model, not a curated record
UCCCGGUCCCAAAUAGAUUUCAAGAGUUUUGUAAAGUGGCCAGGUGCGUCGCGAUGGUCCAUUGCCAGGUGUGUCCCGAGAGAAAUUGAGCUGCGCCUGAGCCCGAACGCAACCGCAUCUUCGGCCCCGAGAUAACGCUGCCCAAGCGAUGCAACCCGUUUCCGGAGCAAGUCGCCCAGAAUAAGAUCAACAACCGUGUUUGUGUACUGAAGAAAUAAGAACAAGACAGCAACCACUACAACAUCCGGCACACAAUGCUUCCGGUCCCGAGACUCAAACCCUCAAAAAAGGCUUAUUCCUCGUCGUUUCCACCAACACGCGAUUCCAGGGUAACCCGGUUAUAACGAGGAGCCACUUCGUGUGCAAGUUUUAGUGUUAUGAAAAUAUGAAAUAAACUGUUUUUUCUUUUU